AGGCGCGUAGCUCAGCGGUGGAGCGCUACCUUCACACGGUAGAAGUCAGGGGUUCGAUACCCCUCGCGCCUA
RNAcentral lists this transfer RNA (72 nucleotides) under Candidatus Magnetovum chiemense. Its description in RNAcentral is "Candidatus Magnetoovum chiemensis tRNA". It matches the Rfam family "tRNA". Rfam says of the family: Transfer RNA (tRNA) molecules are approximately 80 nucleotides in length. The record is from Rfam by way of RNAcentral. Lineage: Bacteria; Pseudomonadati; Nitrospirota; Nitrospiria; Nitrospirales; Nitrospiraceae.